AACGAACGCUGGCGGCAGGCCUAACACAUGCAAGUCGAGCGAGGACUUCGGUCCUAGCGGCGGACGGGUGAGUAACGCGUGGGAACGUGCCCCUUGGUACGGAAUAGCCCCGGGAAACUGGGAGUAAUACCGUAUGAGCUCUACGGAGGAAAGAUUUAUCGCCAAGGGAUCGGCCCGCGUUGGAUUAGGUAGUUGGUGGGGUAAUGGCCUACCAAGCCGACGAUCCAUAGCUGGUUUGAGAGGAUGAUCAGCCACACUGGGACUGAGACACGGCCCAGACUCCUACGGAAGGAAGCAGUGUGAAUCUUAGACAAUGGGCGCAAGCCUGAUCUAGCCAUGCCGCGUGAGCGAUGAAGGCCUUAGGGUUGUAAAGCUCUUUCAGCUGGGAAGAUAAUGACUGUACCAGCAGAAGAAGCCCCGGCUAACUCCGUGCCAGCAGCCGCCGUAA
RNAcentral lists this ribosomal RNA (448 nucleotides) under uncultured bacterium. Its description in RNAcentral is "partial 16S ribosomal RNA". It matches the Rfam family "Bacterial small subunit ribosomal RNA", at positions 29 to 523 of the family's 1533-position model. The record is from RNAcentral.